RNAcentral lists this ribosomal RNA (504 nucleotides) under uncultured bacterium. Its description in RNAcentral is "bacterial SSU rRNA". It matches the Rfam family "Bacterial small subunit ribosomal RNA", at positions 791 to 1304 of the family's 1533-position model. The record is from RNAcentral.
UAGUCCACACUGUAAUCGAUGAAUACUAGGUAUUGACCCCGCCAGUGCCGGAGCUAACGCGUUAAGCUGACCGCCUGGGGAGUACGGCCGCAAGGCUAAAACUCAAAGAAAUUGACGGGGGCCCGCACAAGCGGAGGAGCAUGUGGCUUAAUUCGAUGCAACGCGAAGAACCUUACCAGGGCUUGACAUGUAACUGCUCAUCCUGUGAAAGCAGGACUCUUUCGAAGGUGUUACACAGGUGCUGCAUGGCCGUCGUCAGUUCGUGCCGUGAGGUGUUGGGUUAAGUCCCGCAACGAACGCAACCCCUUUGUUUAGUUGCUACUGGAUUUAUUCAGGCACUCUAGACAUACUGCCCGUACAAAGCGGGAGGAAGGUGGGGACGACGUCAGGUCAGUAUGGCCCUUACGCCCUGGGCUGCACACGUGCUACAAUGGUAGGUACAGAGGGAAGCAAUACCGCGAGGUGGAGCAAAUCCUAAAAACCUGCCCCAGUUCAGAUUGGAGU